UCGAAUCCAGGAAAUUACCAACCCCGUAUCACCCUUCGUUCCGAGCACACAUACUUGAGUCCGAAUCCGAGCACAUUCACAGAUCAAUUGCAAGACGAUACACCAUUACGAACGAUUUCAGUCUCGCUACAAAACCCGGUACAGGUUCGUUGCGAAUCAAGGCACCCCGAAUCCAUGACCUCUCGCUACGAAUCAAUCGAUUAUACCCCAAUGCGAAUCUAUGUCUACGAACGUUCGUGAAAGAAGAGUGCGAGCCCAAUUCCGAUCGUUCGUAAGUUGGCGUUCACAAUACAUCAAUUUUGACUUUUUCUAGUUGACUUGCAGGAACAUCCGCUCAAAUCACCCCAUUUCAUACGUUCGCAUGUAAGACUUUCGCACUUGUUCACCCUGAUUGACUUACGAUUCGGAUUUCAUUCAUUCGCAGGUUAGGACUUUCACAGCGAAUUUGACUUUUCAAUUUUGUCUAUUUUUCAUCCCAAUUGCUUUCCAGCUCUCGUUCACAUCAUACUUCUGAUUACAACUUAAGCCAUGAUUGCAAGACCCAUUUUAUCACGAACCAGAAGAAUGUGAAGCACCAAAUUUUAUUUUGACUUUUUGCAUAGACUACCAAAACGAGAUCCAACACAGUUCAUCCCAUCUUCAUCAUUGUUAUCUGUCCUUGAUUGUUCUUCAAAGCACACCCAAUCAAAGAUUCAUAAAUAUUGUUCUCAAACAAAUUGAUUGAAACAGAUUGGUCAUUCAAUCUAGGCCUGUCAAAUCGUGUCAUCGUGUCGUGUUUCUGUCUGACACGACACAGAAACACGACACGACACGACAAUGUUUUUUGUAACACGAACACGACACGACACGAUGUCGUGUUUUUUUUCACUAACACGAAAACGAACCAAUUAAAAAACGACAACACGACACGACACGACAAAGAUAAUAUUACAUAACUAUUAUUUUAUUUGAUUCAUAUUUAAUCAUAUAUAACACGAUAAAAACGAAAAACACGACAAACACGACAAACACAUGCUCAAUCGUGUCAAUUUCGUGUGGAUUUGUAAACACGAACACGACAUCGUGUUUUUUAUAUUUGACACGAACACGACACGAAAACGAAUUCGAAUUUUGAUUUCGUCCCAAUUUCGUUUCGUGUCGUGUAUUUUUGUCGUGUCGUGUCAUAAAUUGACACCCCUAAUUCAAUCACAAGAUCAUACAAAAAAAAAUCAAGAUUGAUCGAAUAUUGAUUACAGAAUGAAUCGAACACAAGAAACACUCUAUAAUACAGACACUAUUAUCGAGAAGAUUAAUUCAAUGAAAAGAUUGUAAUCAAACCAAUGGAAAACACAUGAUUUUGAAUUGAUUAGAAUACAAGAACACUUAAUCGUCAAAUAGAUGAACACAUCGUUUUAAUAAUGAAUUUUGAUUUGAGGACCAAAUUUUGCGACAUCGACAGCAAUAUAUAUCAAAAAUGAUGAACAAUGGACGAAAAAUGUGAGCUCAAGAAUGAACAGUAAACGACACUAGUUAGGCUCAGGAACAAUAUGGAAUUGAAUUAAUGGAUUAAAACAAAAGAAACAAAUCCAUCCACAACAAACAAAUGAUCCAAUCCAAUCAAAAAUAUGAACUUAAGAACGAAUGGGAUUAAAAAAAAUACCAGAUGAACAGAAUACAUAAGUAUCCAUGAAUAGUUGCUUGAACAAAAAGCUUGAUUCCAAGACGCCAAAACAUCCAAAAUCUUCAAUAACUUGUGCAGAAAAUCAUCAAACCAAGAAUCGAUACUUAAACAAUCAAUAGAUCUUCAAAGACCCACUCUGAUACCACUUGUUGGGAAUAAAACCCUAAUUGAGAUUUGAUGAAUAAGAUGCGGAAAAUAAGAACAAACACAAAUAUGAAGAUUAUGUCGAAUGAUCACUCGAUUUAUUGAAUUAUGAGGAACAAAUUACACUUUAAGAAUAAGGAUCUAACUCUACAAGAAACCUCACAAUGUGGCGGCUACAUUUUGUCUCACUCUUUACCCUAAUUAUGAAUAAUACAUGACUAUUUAUAGGGAAAAGACAAGUCUUGGGCUUUUAACCUACACUUCAUCAAGGGGGCCCAUUUCCAUAAUCCAUGGAGUACUAUGAAACCCUAAAGUUAUGUUUCAAUUAUAUACUAUGUGAUGGUACUAUAAAGAUGAAAGUCACACCAAGCCCCCAGACGUUUCCACCGUCUAGUUCGGAGGUGUGACAGUACUCAAGACCAUUUAGUUGAUUCAGUAGGUGCGUGAUAGGUUGCGUAUCGUGCAGAGCAGGCAUAAAAAUUUACACUGACCAACGCCAAUCUGACCUUGAGUUUCAGAUGAGAGAUCUUGUGCUCCUAAAGGUUUCACCUUGGAAAGAUGUCAUCCGGUUUUGAAAGCGGGGAAAGUUAGGCCCCAUAUUUAUUGGUUCAUUCAGAUUUAUCGCUUGGGUGGGCAAGGUUACGUAUCGAUUGGAUUUACCCAUCGAGCUUUGCCAGAUUCACGACACAUUUCAUGUCUCUCAACUGCGGAAGUGUCUGACUAAUGAUUCCGAAAUGGUUCAUUUGGAUGACAUUCAGGUUGAUGAUUGCCUAAAUUAUAUAGAGAGACCGGAUGUGAUUCUAGACAGAAGGACGAAGACCUUGCGCAACAAGGUAGUAAGUUUGGUGAAGGUGCAAUGGCAUCACCAUAAAGGGUUCCAAAUGGACUUGGGAACCCAAAUAUGAUAUGAGGGAGCAUUAUCCUGAAUUAUUUGCAGCAACAGAUUUCGAGGAAGAAAUCUGAUUCAAGUGGGGGGGAGUUGUAACAACCGUUUCCUAGUAUGGUUCUUAUGAUUUUAGUUUCAUUAAUUUAGUUUGGGAUUUUGUCUAAGCCACGACGUGAUGAUGGAUUGACCACGAUAUGGCAGCCCGGUUUAGGAAAAUGCGCAUCCAUAACCAUCACGACGUGGCAAGGUCUUGGACAUGAACGUGACGACGACUAGGGUUUAAAACCCUAGGUUUCGGGAUUAGUGCCCCAUUUAAAAGCAUUAACUCCUAAGGUCGUCUCAUUUGGCAGCCUCCAUCCUCUAAAAGCGAUCCCCACCUAAACACAAGCCUCUUUAUGUGUGUUCUAAGAGUGUAAAACCAUUUUGUGAAUCUUAAGAAGAAGGAGUCAAUCUAGUGGUUUGGAAGCUUGGUUUUGGAUUGGAUCUAGCAUCUUUAUCUCAUUUCUGACCUUGUGGAGAUAUAAAGUAUCAACCUUGAUCACUGUAGCUUUAGAUCUUAUGCUAGGCCAUUUUAUGAGCUUUUAGUCCCAAUCUUCUUGUCUUUGGAGUUUGGUUAAACUCCAGAGCAUUUGAGUGCAUUAUAUAGUUCUAGACCAUGGUGUUGGUUGGAAAGUGGUCUUGCAUGACCUACGGUGGUGUCCAUGUAAUUGGUGCAACCAUUAAGAACCUAGGAUUAGAGAUCUCGACUUAUUGGAGUGUAUUAAUGGAUAAAGUUGGAAACUUUGUCCAAUAAGACCUUAAGGAGAUUUAAAUUUGAGCUUUGGAGCUCUUGGUGUAAAGGGAUACGAGCUUAAUCCAUUAAGUUGUUUAUGCCUAGUUACCAUGACGUGGUGGUUGGCCUGGUCGCGAUUGUUUUGUCGUAAUGCUCUCACGAUGUGGCCAAUGAGUGGUCACGACAUGAGGAUUGUCUGGGGUGACUUUGACCGUUGACUUUUUGACAUGGUUGACUUUUGGAUAAAUGGUUAGUGUGAGAGGUAGACUAAGGAUUAAUCUUGAAUAUUUCGAUAGGUGGGUUGUACCACCGGUUCCUUGAUUAGUUCGAGAUGUGGUUGAUCAUAUUCGAAUGUGAGGUGAGUUUUCUCACUAUACUAUGUAGAAUGUUAUAUUAUCUUCUUAUUGUUGCAUAUAUGUUGGAUUCAGCCCAUUAUGUUGGGUGGGGCCCGUUAUGUGGGCAGGGUCCGAUGUUAUGUAUGGUAUGUGGUAUUUCCGAGAACUCACUAAGCUUUGUGCUUAUUGUUUUGUGGUUUAAAUGUUUCAGGUACUUCUGGUUCCAAAGGGAAGUGCCCGACAUGAUUGCACAACAUCCCUGAAUUUUUAUUCCGCACUGUUUAUUUGAUUUACUCUGAUGUUAAGAAUAUUUAUACUUUGGUUGGUUUUGGAACAAAUGGUUGUAUCAUUUUGGGUGUUUUGAAAAUGAAAUUUUUACUAGUAUUUUUUGGGACCUUACACAUUCUUUUUAUUUAUUUUUCUACUCCAAACAUAUUUUUUGACUCCAAACAAACCUUCAACAUUUUUGGUUUUUCUCGAAAAACCCCUUACAUUUUAUAACUUUUUGUGAAAAAAAUGACUAAAAGGGUCGGAUAAAAAAUACAACUUUUUAGGCAAAAAGUAAAGAAAAUGUUUGAUAAAGUCUCAAUAUUUUGGGUCAGUAUAUGGUUUAAUCAUAAUAUUUAUUUUUUGAACAAAAAAAGUCUCGAUUAUUUAUUUUUAUACGUUGAUCUGUUAUUUUGUAUUGGAAAAAAAUAAAGGUUAUUUUAUUAAUUUGGGUAAAAUAUAAAAUAAUGGAGACUUUUAAAAAAUAAAAGUUAGAGUUAAGUCAUAAACUAACCUAAAAUAUUGAACUGAUAUUUUUUCAAAAAAAUAAAUUUAAACUUUAAUCCAGAAAAUAUUAUAUAAGAUAGAACAAAUUACAUGAAUGGUCCUUAAGGUUUUGCUUUUUUCCCUAAAGUAGUCCCUACGAAACUUUUUCCCCUCAGAUGGUACCUACGGAGCAAACCUUGCACACAAAAGGCCCCUAUGACUAACUUUGUUAACAGAUUCUGUUAAGUUUUAUUAAAUGACAAAAAUAUCCUUUGUUUUAUGCACACAGAUCCCCCCCCCCCUCUCUCUCUCUCUCUCUCACAACAAAAAGUCAAAAACAUUAGCCAUCAUCAUUUUCACACCACCUAAUUCACAAUCUUCACACCGUCUCCAUCAUUUUUUCAGGUCAAAAACAAUCUUCGUCAUUUUCACACCAACUAAAUCAAACCUAGAAACUUCAUCUUCAAAUAACCACCCAUAUCCCCACCCACCGUAUGCCCUUCUCUAUGUCAUUCCCCUUCCACCUGAUAUUCUACCGGAUAAACAGUGCUUCUGAAACCCUAAAAAUUAAAAGAGGCAGAUGAAUGUCAUGAUCGAUUGUUGAUGAAGGCAUAUCUGUGAAAUCAAAAACACUGGCUGCUGAUGAAGGUCAAAUGGAUACGAAUUAGAUCAACAAGCACAUCGCCAGUUGAGAACCAAGGGAACAAGUCUCCUUCUUCAUCUGAUCGGGGAGCAAAAUGUUCAAGGCUGCUUAACCCCUUGGAAGGGAACGAGCAGUAACAAUAGCGAAGGAAGGGAGGUUUGUGGGGUUUUUUUAACAACCGAAUGAGAGAUUAGAAGCGGCGGUGGCAGCUCCAUGUUCGCCGACAACUUCUUUGAUAGAAAGAACAAGAAAUCAAUCUCAUCAUAUCUGAACCCAUUAGAGGAGGUGACACUUCGACUUCUUGCUUUAUUUUGGUCUAGAGUCUGGGAAGGGAUUGGUGGUGGUGGAAGGCGGUGUCUCCAUUGGCGAUUUUGUUAGGGUUGGGGUUUAAAAGGGUUUAAAAGGAUCCAUCUGAUCCAGGUUUAAAGCUUUUUUUGUUGCAAAUCAAAACCCUGUCUUUCUGAAUCUAACGAUCUUCCCGUUCAUGAGAUUUCAAGAGAGAGGAGAAGAUGGAGGUGGCAUGUCAGCGAGGACGAUGUAAGGUGGGGGAGAGACAUGCCGGAGAAUAUGAAUUGGGCGGUGCUUUAAUGAGAGAGAGAGAGAGAGAGAGAGAGAUUUUUUAAUUUGAAAUGAAUAAAAUAUUAAAAAUAAAUAAAAACAAAGGGUAAUUUCGUCUUUUCACACACACACAUAACAAAUUAUGUUAACAAAGUUAGUCAUAGGGGCCUUUUGUGUGCAAGGUUUGCUCCGUAGGUACCAUCUGAGGGAAAAGAAUUUCGUAGGUACUAUUUUAGGGAAAAAAGAAAAACCUUAAGGACCAUUCGUGUAAUUUGUUCUAUAAGAUAUUUUAUGAAAUUAAGCCUUAUGCUUAAAGGUAGGGUUUUAUUUCAGCAAUGGUUGAAACUUAGAAACUUUUUAGUAUACACUGAUGGAGAUUUUAGGGAUAUUAAUUUUCAGAUGGUUCAAACCAAUCGAAAGGAUAUCUGAAUUUGAACACUGCACACCAUUUCUGCCGACGGUCUAGGAUCCGAAAUUCUGGAUGAAUGGAGAAUUGGAAUUACAUGUAUCGCCUGUAAUUGCCGAAUUCACCCCAUUAUCACCUGAAGCGUACGAUAUUUUCCUUAUCUAUCUUGCGAGGAAGACUAAUUCAAUCAAUCGAAGGGUGAGAUCCACCAUUUUCAUCAAGGUAACAUUCACACCCUGCCAUUGUUUUCUUCUUAAUUCUUAACUAUUUCGAAUUCCAUUAUCUGAGUACAAGAGGGCAUAUACCAGUAGUAUGCCACAUCUAAUGAUUUCUUUAUCAUUAUCAUAUUAUUAUUUAUGUUACAUUACUGUAGAUAAUAGUUUUAUAUGGUUACUUGAUGCAAUAGUGUGGCAACACAUUUUGGGUAUCGAUCAUUUGGAUAGUGCCUCUGUCGUAAAACCAAUCACCAACUGCCUGUGCAAUAGCCUGUAAAAAUUGUGUUUCAACUUACAAUGCUAUAGAAAUAGAGACGAUGAGUGAACAUGUUUGAAGGAGAUCGAGAUGUUUACCUUAUGGUUCAAUUCCCAAGCAGGAUUUCCUGACCAUUUUGAUUGGUAUUCACAUUGGCCAUGAGUAAAACAAUUGUUAACAAACCAUCCUCUUGAUGAACCAUUUCCAACCACCAAAAAUGCUUCUAAAAACUCCCAUCUGAAAUCUAAUCAAAAGCAACAAGAAAAAGAUAUUACAAGUGUCGUCUACUUUCUAUAAACUAACUAAGUGGCUGUUUGAUAACAUCUUUAUGGAGCCAUUCAGAGGUCAACAUUCAGCGAGUUUAUUGACCUUGUAGCCUUUGGAUCUGUGCAGAUGAACACACGUUUAUAUCUUCCUUGCAUUUGGUAAAGAGUCCAUUAGGAUCUGCUUGUGGCGUAGCCAAGAUGUUUUGUACCUUAAUAUUUACAAAAUCAAGUCAAAAAACAAGUGUAAGAUGUAAUCCAUUCAACUUGAUUUGUACUUAGGAGAAAAAAAAUUCUGAUAUAUUGUUUUAAAAGCUUACCUGG
RNAcentral lists this long non-coding RNA (7215 nucleotides) under Lactuca sativa (garden lettuce). RNAcentral describes it as "long non-coding RNA (LSAT_LNC002177)". The record is from RNAcentral. Lineage: Eukaryota; Viridiplantae; Streptophyta; Magnoliopsida; Asterales; Asteraceae.